Molecule: ribosomal RNA, 253 nt
Filed under: uncultured prokaryote
Description: partial 16S ribosomal RNA
Rfam family: Bacterial small subunit ribosomal RNA
Source: RNAcentral
ACGGGGGGGGCAAGCGUUGUUCGGAAUUACUGGGCGUAAAGGGCUUGUAGGUGGCCAACUAAGUCAGACGUGAAAUCCCUCGGCUUAACCUGGGAACUGCGUCUGAUACUGGGUGGCUUGAAUGCGGGAGAGGGAUGUGGAAUUCCAGGUGUAGCGGUGAAAUGCGUAGAUAUCUGGAGGAACACCGGUGGCGAAGGCGGCAUCCUGGACCGACACUGACACUGAGGAGCGAAAGCCAGGGGAGCAAACGGGA